Long non-coding RNA from Lagopus leucura (white-tailed ptarmigan), 510 nucleotides. RefSeq lists it as uncharacterized. The transcript has 2 exons. The record is from RefSeq and is a predicted model, not a curated record. Lineage: Eukaryota; Metazoa; Chordata; Aves; Galliformes; Phasianidae.
UCUAAUCUGCUGGAGUUUUAUAUGUGAGCCUAGGAUACAGUUGUAGGAGCAUGAAGGAAAGGCUGAGACUCCCGAGAGAGGACUCUAAGCUGAGAGCCCCAGUUCAACAUCAGCUUCCCUCAUCCCGCAGAUCACGUGUCUGAUCUCCAAGCAGCUUUCUCAGCAGGCUUGGCCUGAGGUGUCCGAACUCUCCCAUCAGUGGUGUAGAAUCCCAGCUGGCACCCAAAUUGAUGCUGCUUGUUUCCUGCUGUCACCGAGAGCUAGAAUGUGAAGGCAGCCAUCCUCUGAGGGCAGCUCAUGUCCUCAGUGUUUUUCCAGGCAGGUGCUCUGCUAAUUCUGUAUUGAAGACACAAACUGAGAAAAUCUAAUCCCAGGACACAACUAUCAAAUUGACUUUUAUCCUUUUCUCUGCUGAAUUUUGAUUUUUGUCAAGCACAAAUAAAAUUUACUGCCAAAAUAUAUAGUAUCUGCAGAAGAGAAUACAAGGGAUAUUCUUUAGUUUUAAAAAUA